RNAcentral lists this small RNA (118 nucleotides) under Salmonella enterica subsp. enterica serovar Kentucky. RNAcentral describes it as "partial RtT sRNA". It matches the Rfam family "RtT RNA". From Rfam's summary of the family: This family represents a bacterial cis-regulatory element known as RtT RNA. Lineage: Bacteria; Pseudomonadati; Pseudomonadota; Gammaproteobacteria; Enterobacterales; Enterobacteriaceae. RNAcentral also lists the same sequence under 1 other name. The record is from RNAcentral.
UAUCUCUCCGUACGGGGAAGGAUGAGAAGCUUCGACUAAGGUUCGAUUCGAGCGCAGCGAGAAAGCGUUGCCGCAGGCAACGACCCGAAGGGCGAAGCGCGCAGCGCUGAGUCAUCCU